GGGAAUUUACGAAUUAUUGCAUUUUUGUUGAUAGAAAGUUAAAGUGAAUUUUAAAUCGAAAAUGACGAGACCAUGAAAAUUAAUAAAAAACACACAACCUGACCAUCAUAUAUACAUAUAGGAAGUUCCUUUAAUAUAACACAGCCUAGAAUCCAAUACCAGCAUUAACGAGAACUCUACAUGGGAAUGACAUGUCUUGUUUACCAAAAUUAGAACUUUUUUUUUUUUCACAUAAACUUGAACUUCUUAAAGAUAUAAAAAUUUGAACUUCCUUUAUGAAACAACUAUGUAAGAUCUCUUUCCUAAAAAACUCCAUGGCCGCCACCAACAUGUCCUCCCCCCCCCGUGGCCAUGGUGGGCAUGUGCCCCGCCCCCGUGGCCAUGGUGGGCAUGUGCCCCGCCCCAGUGGCCAUGGUGGCCAUGUGCCCCGCCCCCGUGUCCAUGGUGGCCAUGUGCCCCGCCCCCGUGGCCAUGGUGGCCAUGUGCCCCGCCCCCGUGGCCAUGGUGGCCAUGUGCCCCGCCACUGCCAUCUCCUCCAUCUCCUUCAACUCUGCCUCCUCCAUCUCCUCCAUCUCCGUCUCCUCCAUCUCCGUCUCCUCCAUCGAUACCUCUAUUGUCUUUCUUCUUGCGAGACGAUGUACCACAAGAAAGUAUUAUAGCUGAAAUUACUGAAAGGAACAUCAGGAUCAUACAAACCAAGUAUAGACCACCACCAGCACUUGGAAGCAAUAAAUCUGCAUGUCUACGACUAACACCUAGACCAACAAGGUUCCUAGCCAUUUCUGUUCGUGUUCUGGGAGCCUAAUUUUAGGAGGAGGAAUUUAUUUAUAAACUAUAAUUCCCAUGAUAAUUAAUAAAAAGAUAUUUAGAAGUUGGAAAAGAGAAUCUAUCUCCACCUUAUAUUGCACUCCACGUAGAUUGCAU
This 924-nucleotide long non-coding RNA is filed under the name Prunus persica (peach). Its description in RNAcentral is "long non-coding RNA (PPER_LNC003235)". Lineage: Eukaryota; Viridiplantae; Streptophyta; Magnoliopsida; Rosales; Rosaceae. The record is from RNAcentral.